Molecule: unclassified non-coding RNA, 331 nt
Filed under: soil metagenome
Description: partial contains 5.8S ribosomal RNA, internal transcribed spacer 2, and large subunit ribosomal RNA
Rfam family: 5.8S ribosomal RNA (bases 1-120)
Source: RNAcentral
GAUGAAGAACGUAGCGAAAUGCGAUAAGUAAUGUGAAUUGCAGAAUUCAGUGAAUCAUCGAAUCUUUGAACGCACAUUGCGCCCCCUGGUAUUCCGGGGGGCAUGCCUGUUCGAGCGUCAUUUCACCACUCAAGCCUCGCUUGGUAUUGGGCAACGCGGCCCGCCGCGUGCCUCAAAUCGACCGGCUGGGUCUUCUGUCCCCUAAGCGUUGUGGAAACUAUUCGCUAAAGGGUGUUCGGGAGGCUACGCCGUAAAACAACCCCAUUUCUAAGGUUGACCUCGGAUCAGGUAGGGAUACCCGCUGAACUUAAGCAUAUCAAUAAGCGGAGGA